This 376-nucleotide ribosomal RNA is filed under the name uncultured Alphaproteobacteria bacterium. RNAcentral describes it as "partial 16S ribosomal RNA". The record is from RNAcentral. Lineage: Bacteria; Pseudomonadati; Pseudomonadota; Alphaproteobacteria.
AUGGCUAGAUCAGGCUUUCGCCCAUUGUCUAAGAUUCCCUACUGCUGCCUCCCGUAGGAGUCUGGGCCGUGUCUCAGUCCCAGUGUUGCUGAUCAUCCUCUCAAACCAGCUAUGGAUCGUAGGCUUGGUAGGCCAUUACCCCACCAACUACCUAAUCCAACGCGGGCUAAUCCAAAGGCGAUAAAUCUUUCCCCCGAAGGGCACAUACGGUAUUACUCUCCGUUUCCAGAGGCUGUUCCGUACCUUUGGGCAUAUUCCCACGCGUUACUAACCCGUCCGCCGCUCACCCGAAGGUGCGCUCGACUUGCAUGUAUUAGGCCUGCCGCCAGCGUUCGUUCUGAGCCAGGAUCAAACUCUAAUCGAAUUCCCGCGGCCG